Molecule: long non-coding RNA, 1289 nt
Organism: Acinonyx jubatus (cheetah)
Lineage: Eukaryota; Metazoa; Chordata; Mammalia; Carnivora; Felidae
Exons: 2
Source: RefSeq, a predicted model, not a curated record
UGAAACUCUUCUUUAAAAUACAUGACUCAGAGAAGACUACCUUUGUGUUAGUAGUAAUAAUACAGUAGCAGUACACAGCAAAUUUACUUUUCUUUGUAUUUACUGCCACCAAAUGGCAAAUUAAUAAUAUUACUAUGUCUGUUAUAUUGACACUAUAAAAGACCUACUAAAGGUAAUGCCCCUUUUAAUAUUGUUUUGGCAGGGUUAAUUUGUUCAGAAAGAGUUUUGACAACGGAAGAAAAAACAAAUUUUAAUAUGUUUAGAACUGUAGCUAGGGGCACCUGGGUGGCUCAGUUGGUUCAGUGUUUGACCUUGGCUCAGGUCAUGAUCUCACGGUUCCUGAGUUCAAGCCCUGCUUUGGGCUCUGUGCUGACAACUUAGAGCCUGGAGCCUGCUUCAGAUUCUGUCUCCGUCUCUCUGCCCCUCCCCCCACUCAUGCUCUCUCUUUCUCUUUCUCUCUCAAAUGUAAAUAAACAUUAAAAAAUGAAAAAAAAAAAAAAAAAAAAGAACUGUAGCUAACCUUUUUCUAGCCAGAGUAGAUAGAAUGGUUUCUAUAAGGCAUUAGAGCAAAGCAGAAAUCACUAUGACAAAGAUGAUAAAAACUGGUAACUCAAACCUAAUAAGAAAUAAAUUUGACAACAUAUUUUUAUGCAGGGAAUUUAAUUCUGACCUUUGUUCUUUCUAGGUUAUCGUAUCUGAGAAAGAUGGUUCCAGAAUAUUUUAGGCCUAAUUUUAUUUGAAGAUAAGCCAUUUUACUAAAAAUGGCUAUUAAGAUAUCCUGGAAAAAUUGUUAUAUAAGAGCAACCAAAUGUUCAAGCAACCCAAAUGUUCAGUCUUAGGAAAUUGGUUAAAUACUUUUUAAUUUAAUGUUAUAUAGUUAUUGAAAGUGUAAUAGAGGCAUAUUUAACGAGAUGGAUGAAGGUCCAUGUGGUUAAAUGGAGAGCAAUGGGGAGAAGCAAGUUACUAAACAGUGUAUUCUCACAGUUUUUUAAAAAGUACAUUUACCUUUGGGAGAUACUAUUGUGAUUUCUUAAAUUUAUGUAUUUCUAAAAUGAACAUGUUUUUAAAUGUUCAGAAAUUAUAUAGAUUGAAUAUUUUAUGCUUCAUAGACAGUUUCUUAGAUUAAAACAUCCCCAUGGAAGCACUUAUUAUAUAUUCAUUUAUUAUAGUGAAUAUAUUUGAAUAGUUUUGGGUUUUUUCUUUUUGAAUGAUGAAAAUGUCUUCUUGCAGGCAAUUUUGACUCAGCCCACUUUUUGAGACUCUUCUAAUUGAUUCAUAUAUAAAUGAAA